Molecule: long non-coding RNA, 1041 nt
Filed under: Homo sapiens (human)
Lineage: Eukaryota; Metazoa; Chordata; Mammalia; Primates; Hominidae
Description: HSALNT0048731
Source: RNAcentral
UAGUGGAGAUGGCCAGUAGGCUGCUGAACAUACAGUUCUGAAGUUUAUAAGCAAGAUUGUAACCUGAAGGGAUAAGAGAGCCCUGGAUAGAAUCCUGAGAAACACCUGUAUUUAAGAGCUGGACAACAGAAACUGGGGAGUGGCUAUGGAGUUCUGAGUUCUGACAUUAUAGAAGCCAAAGAGAGAACAUGCCUCAAGGAGGGCAUAGUCAGCAGCGUUAAAUCCUUCUAAGAGGAAGAAGGCACUAUGGAUGGUGGAGUAGAAGACAUUAAGAGAGACAGAGAGAACUGCAGAUUCAAGGUCUCUGAGAUGACAAGGGAUUGGAUCCAACACAAAAGUGGAACCCCUUUCUUGGCUGCAAGAGGAAGGAAGAUGGGCAGCGAUAACAGUAAGAUCUGUGGAUUGGGCAGGGGGGAUUUAGAAUGUCCUAGUAUGAUUUUUUAGGUUCUUUCCUGAAAAUUAGGACACAAAUUAUCACAAAGAUGCUGUGGACUUUGCUUUAACUUGGUUAAUGACGAUUCUAUGGCAAUGUAUUAAAUUUCUUUCUCCUAAGUCCACUGAAGUCUUUUUGGACUUGGAGAGAGCUUUUUAAGAAAGAACUUGCUCAUUCAGCAGGAUUUUCCUCCCCACCCCAAGCUCUGGUUCUGACCUGGAAAAAAUAAGAGUGAGAAAGAGCAAGAGAAUCCUGCAGUCCUGACGCUCAACUUCACAAACCACAAAAAAGAACCUUUCUCCAGUAACGUAAUCAUGGAGAUUUCUGGCACCUUGGUCUUUCAAGAAAAAUACAUCCUUCUGCUGGCACAGGGACCCAUCAAACUAAACCCUAUUCAGCAUGGAGUUCCCGAUUCAUUAGUGUUGGAAAGUCUAUAGCGAGGCUGGCCGCUCCCAUUGGAUGAUGCCUCCCUGCAGCGCCGUCUGUAAACCCCACAGCUGUGUUUUCACUUAAAGCCACUUCUCCUGACUGCGCUGCACCUUGUUCCAGAGGCUUGCUCUGUUCUCAUUAAGGUUAAAAAUGACAGGACAAGGAUUCUUCAAUGCUGA